AUUGAACGCUGGCGGCAGGCCUAACACAUGCAAGUCGAACGAGUGGCGUACGGGUGAGUAAUGUCUGGGAAACUGCCCGAUGGAGGGGGAUAACUACUGGAAACGGUAGCGAAUACCGCAUACCAUCGAAUGUGCCCAGAUGGGAUUGGCUAGUAGGUGGGGUAACGGCGCACCUAGGCGACGAUCCCUAGCUGGUCUGAGAGGAUGACAAGCAAGACUGGACCUGAGACACGUUCCAGACUCCGACGGGAGGCAGCAGUGGGUAAUCUUGCACAAUGGGCUCAAGCCUGAUGCAGCGAGGCCGCGUGCAUGAGGAAGGCCUUCGGGUUUGAAAGUACUGUCAGCGAGGAGGCGUUACUCGCAGAAGAAGCACCGGCUAACUCCGUGCCAGCCGCCGCGGUAAUUC
This 406-nucleotide ribosomal RNA is filed under the name uncultured bacterium. Its description in RNAcentral is "partial 16S ribosomal RNA". It matches the Rfam family "Bacterial small subunit ribosomal RNA", at positions 30 to 526 of the family's 1533-position model. The record is from RNAcentral.